Molecule: long non-coding RNA, 1040 nt
Organism: Mytilus californianus (California mussel)
Lineage: Eukaryota; Metazoa; Mollusca; Bivalvia; Mytilida; Mytilidae
Exons: 2
Source: RefSeq, a predicted model, not a curated record
UUAAUAAACGCUUAUCGAGAAGUCAAGAUGGUUUGCUUCAGUCAUGAUGUAUCUUGCACAAUUGUUGGUGAUGGACUUAUAGGUAAAACAUGCAUGGCCAAAGCAUUUGCUGGUGACUCGUUCCCUGAUUGUUAUGUAGCUACUGUAGCCGAGAGCUAUACAGGUUAUGUAUCUGCUUACGGUGACCUGUACAGUGUGGAUAUAAAAGAUACAAAUGGUCAGCAUGAAGAUGAAAACACUCGAUCACAAAUGAUUUCUGAUACUGAUGUCAUUAUCGUCUGCUAUAGUGUAGUAGAGAGAGAAACUUUUAACAAUGUGCAGUCAUUCUGGAUACAAGAAAUUCGUAAAUUCAACAAAAGGAGGCCAGUUAUCUUAGUGGCAACCCAGAGUGACAUUCGUGAUGAAGAUAACAUUCAACAUGUUUCUGACUUAGAAGGACAACACAUGACCAAACUUAUCGGUGCUGAAUAUUAUAAUAAAUGUUCAGCUGCUGCACAAACCGGAAUGAAAAAUGUUUUAGAAAGUGUUGUUUUAGCUUCAAUUAAAUACAGAAAGAAGACAGCAAGCAUUUUAAAACGUGUUUUCGGACGAUGAACACGGAUUUAUCACAGCCAAGGGAUAAAAUACCAUAAAACGAUAUCCUUACGCGCAGCUCCUUUAACCUCGCUUUGAGAAAAGAUUAUCAAUUGAACCUGCAAUGUUCAACCGUUGUGCAUUCAUAGCACAAGUAAAAGGUGAGAAGAUACGAACUAUAUAUGUGUUAGGACAGUGUUUCAGAGCAAACUAGUUAACGUUGAUAAUAAACUCUAAGGUAAAUAACAGAACGUAUUAUAAAAUAAUGGGAUAUAAGAUAAAGGUGUUAGAAACAUGUGUUUAAUUAAAAAGAUUUGGAAAUACAGUAUUAAACUUCUGUCUUUCUAGAACUCCAGCAACGGACUGCCUAAUAAUAACAUCCGAAUAAGUUGUUUCCGGUCCGUGUGGGCUUGUAUUGUCAUGUUCAAUGUACAUGUAGAUUUUGCAACAAAGAUUAUUUAUACGUU